Molecule: long non-coding RNA, 741 nt
Organism: Solea senegalensis (Senegalese sole)
Lineage: Eukaryota; Metazoa; Chordata; Actinopteri; Pleuronectiformes; Soleidae
Exons: 2
Source: RefSeq, a predicted model, not a curated record
GUCUGUACAUGUGUGUCGUCUGUUUCUUUUUCUGUGUCAUCUUUGAACAACUAUGGGUUUCCUCAUGUGCACUGUGGCUGUACAAUCUGUUUUCCAUUAGAAAUCCCUAAAUAACAUUUCAGAUAUUAUGUGAUGUGGUUUGGAAAUGCUUUUUGAAACUUUUUUUUAACACUGAAAUUUAACUUUUGCAUCACUACUGGUACCAGAAAUGGAAGUCUUUAUUAAAAAGCCCGUUGUUUCUCAGGAUGUUUUGUUGACAUGGUAUUUGACUUGCAGCUUGACAGAGGAAACAAAGUGAUUACAGAAGUUUAAUGGGAUUUGACACAAGAUCCCUCGGCCUGUUUUUGCAAAACGCUGGAUUAUAAUCGACGACUCAAAAGUCACUGUUACUGUUUUGUCCCCCGUGGUGAGGAAGAGGAGGAGGAGGAGGAGGAGGAGGCUGCGAAAUGGAAUCCACAUGCCAGCGAGGUUCUGUUGUUUGUCAGGGUCACCGUGUAUGACAGAGACAGAUGAGGCAGGAGGAACCUGUUCCACCGUCCACUGGGGAAUCACUCACUCACAUAUAAACAAAUACACACUGUCUCUAGCCGUUAUCUCGCAUGGGACUCAUUUCUGCCAAACCCAUCAGGGCUGAAUGUUUGUGAGACAGGAGACUAGAGGGAGGACAACGGUUUAGCUGAAGACACAAGCCCAAAGAAUGAACUGUGCUUGAAGUUUUCUUAAUAAACUACUGAUCAUUUA